UGAGAGAACUCUGGUGAAGGAACUAGGCAAAAUAGUACCGUAACUUCGGGAGAAGGUACGCUGUUGAUGGUGAAGGAUUUACUCCGUAAGCUAUCGGCAGCCUCAGAAACUAGGCCGCUGCAACUGUUUAUUAAAAACACAGCACUCUGCAAACACGAAAGUGGACGUAUAGGGUGUGAUGCCUGCCCGGUGCUGGAAGGUUAAUUGAUGGGGUUAGCGAAAGCGAAGCUCUUGAUCGAAGCCCCAGUAAACGGCGGCCGUAACAAUAACGGUCCUAAGGUAGCGAAAUUCCUUGUCGGGUAAGUUCCGACCUGCACGAAUGGCAUAAUGAUGGCGGCGCUGUCUCCACCAGAGACUCAGUGAAAUCGAAACCGCGGUGAAGAUGCCGUGUACCCGCGGCUAGACGGAAAGACCCCGUGAACCUUUACUGCAGCUUUGCACUGAACUUUGACCUUACUUGUGUAGGAUAGGUGGGAGGCUUUGAAGCUCGGACGCUAGUUCGAGUGGAGCCAUCCUUGAAAUACCACCCUGGUAAUGUCGAGGUUCUAACCCAGAUCCGUUAUCCGGAUCGGGGACAGUGUAUGGUGGGUAGUUUGACUGGGGCGGUCUCCUCCUAAAGAGUAACGGAGGAGUACGAAGGUGCGCUCAGCGUGGUCGGAAAUCACGCAAUGAGUAUAAAGGCAAAAGCGCGCUUAACUGCGAGACCGACAAGUCGAGCAGGUACGAAAGUAGGUCUUAGUGAUCCGGUGGUUCUGUAUGGAAGGGCCAUCGCUCAACGGAUAAAAGGUACUCUGGGGAUAACAGGCUGAUACCGCCCAAGAGUUCAUAUCGACGGCGGUGUUUGGCACCUCGAUGUCGGCUCAUCUCAUCCUGGGGCUGAAGCAGGUCCCAAGGGUAUGGCUGUUCGCCAUUUAAAGAGGUACGCGAGCUGGGUUUAGAACGUCGUGAGACAGUUCGGUCCCUAUCUACCGUGGGCGUUGGAGACUUGAGAGGAUCUGCUUCUAGUACGAGAGGACCGAAGUGGACGUACCUCUGGUGUUCGGGUUGUCACGCCAGUGGCACUGCCCGGUAGCUAUGUACGGACGGGAUAACCGCUGAAAGCAUCUAAGCGGGAAGCCCACCUUAAGAUAAGGUCUCCCUGGGGGUUUAACCCCCCUAAAGAGCCGUUAGAGACCAUGACGUUGAUAGGUUCGGUGUGGAAGUGCGGUGACGCAUGAAGCUAACGAAUACUAAUUGCUCGUGAGGCUUGAC
Molecule: ribosomal RNA, 1251 nt
Filed under: metagenome
Description: bacterial LSU rRNA
Rfam family: Bacterial large subunit ribosomal RNA
Source: RNAcentral